UGCAGGUUGAUGCAGCGCUAUGAGGCUUGGUCGCUUGGAUGCGGUCCUGGAGGCAUAAAACGCACAUGAUGUUCACAAGCAUGGUGGCAGUAAGGUGCGGAUGGAUCUAACUAAUGCUACCAAGUAAUAUACUGAUCAAUUCUAUGGUACUUUUUUGAUGGAUAUCCCUGAUUUGAUUGCAAAUAAUUUCCUGAGCUUUGAAACUAAUUUGUUUUCUCAAAUACACAAGUAAUUGUUCUGUUGAAAUUCAAUUCAUGCCUCACAUUGCGCGUAGAUCUGUUGGCCGGUUCCUAAUGAGCUCCAAAACAGAGAAGCGCCAUGAUGUACCAUGGCUUGAGGAGAUGCAUAUGUCGGCAUUUCUUUGUGUAUUGCUGGAACAUGGUUUGCAUCACCACAUUCUAAGGUCAUUUGCUUUCUUUCCCCCCCUGUAAUUUAAUGCAAUGCAUGACUCCUUCCUUUCUAAUGUUGGUUGGUAAUGUAUGAGCCUAACCUGAAAUUUGCACACAUCAGCAUCAACCUGAAAUCAUAGAUGCAACGUUAAUUGAAAAAGGCAUUCCAUCAAAAGAUAAAAAGAAUCUGAGUAUCAGCUUGCUAGGCUCCCUCCCUAUGUUUUUCAUUGUUUGUUGUGACGAUAUAAUGGAGAAGCCCUUCCUUGAGUAAACUAAUACUACUGCAGUUACUAAUCCUUUCUGUAUUGCUACAUGUAGUGUAUAAUGUGAAGGUGGACAGUUCAGCAUAAUUACUAACGGAAUUUGAUACCUUUCAACGAAACGAUUCAAAAGAUAUAUGGAUGAUUAUAUGGGUGCGUGGCAAGUAUACUGCAAUGAUGAUGAAGUUCCAGUUCAUGAUGAUGGAUGCUUUUGGUUUUGUUAAGUACUAGGGACAUUGUUGAUGUUGCUAGAUGAUGUUCCUCAGUUACGUUUUAGUUUAGUUGUAGGGAUGUUGAUGGAUUCUUUCAGUUAAAGUUUCGCUUCGCUGUGAAGAAAAUAUUUAGAUUAUGCAGCAUAUUUGGAUGAUGUUCCUCAUGUAAUAUCCACUACUGUAAUCCAAAAGUUUUAUCCAAUAUAUGAUUUCUUCC
Molecule: ribosomal RNA, 1078 nt
Filed under: Triticum aestivum (bread wheat)
Lineage: Eukaryota; Viridiplantae; Streptophyta; Magnoliopsida; Poales; Poaceae
Description: partial small subunit ribosomal RNA
Source: RNAcentral